This is a non-coding RNA of Podarcis lilfordi (Lilford's wall lizard), 71 nucleotides long. NCBI's taxonomy places the organism in Eukaryota, Metazoa, Chordata, Lepidosauria, Squamata, Lacertidae. The record is from the annotation of a GenBank genome assembly.
GGAUCAUAGCUCAAUGGCAGAGCACUUGCUUUGUGUGCAGAAGGUCCCAGAUUUGAUCCCCAGCAUCUCCA